AACCAUCCUCCCAUUACCACUGGUACCACAAGCCACUAAACCAUGUCUUGUAGCUCCUCAUCCAGACAAUCAAGAAGAAACAAGACAGUCAACAAGAAACCAGAGCAGAAGAACAGAGGCAAUGAAGGUGUGACAAGACUAAGACCAAGAUGGAGAAAGACAAAACCAGAGUUUUGGAGUUCCUUAGGACACCACAUCCUCACCUUAGGACCCAGUAGAAGAAACUAGAAAAACACCACUUCAACUUGUAAUUGGAUACAAGGUAAAUGUUUACUGUGCUUACCUACCUUGUUGGUCAAAGGCUUGCAGGCUGAGGACUUCCUAACCCUGCAAGCAAUUGACUGUUCUGUCAUGUCUGCAGUCCUUCUCUGCCUGAAAAUUUUUCUAUUGAUCGUGACUAUGGAUUAAGUCUUAGAGGGUACUGCAAUUGCUUCAUCCCUUAUCCAUCCCACUUAAAUUUUUGUUUGAUGUUUAUGCACUGUUCUAAGUCUUUGUUAAUGUGCUCAAAGUGGCUGCAGAUUUGUGGCACGCAAUACCUUUUGAAAACAACAACAACAACAAAGAAAAUAUAACACAUUCUCUUCCGUGUACAAGAUACAUAUAUUGCAUUGUGUUGACUGUGCUUUAGGUUACUACAGUGCUAGUUAUUGACUUUCAUUUAACAUUGCUGUGAAAAGAUAGGUGCAAAAUAACUCUAGUCUUGGACAUAAAGCAACUUACACUUAUCUCUUUCUUGAAACCAAGGCAGAAGCCCAGAUCUGCCAAUACUGGCUGAAUUUUGUAAACUUCAGUUCUGAAUAUGCAUGAAAGCUUUGGGGCCAAGGCCCUUGUGUGUCCUAUUUUGUGGAGACAUAGAGACAAUGUGGGAAGAAAAUAGCUGUUAUUCAUAUGGUGCAUUUUUCUCAAUAAAAGAUGUCAUAAAGAUUUUUAGCACACGGACAAAAUGUGAAGCCUUGGCAGCAGGAUUAAGCAUAUUGGUUCUGCAAGUCUGUUUGGGUGCUGAUCCAGGUAGGAUGGAUUUCUUCAAUAGACCAGAAAAGCUCACUUGUGGCUGUUAAAGUACUGAGCUGUCAAAAAUCCAUGUUUUCAAUUCCUAAGUCUGUUCAAACAGGUAAACAGCCCAUUGUAGCCCCUUCUCCUCCAUGAACACUCACAUCGCUUACCAAAAUAUGAAUAGUAUUGAUGAGUGAGACUGUAACAGGCUUUACAAACCACACUGCCUUAUAUGCAGGAAAAACACUUUAAGAAAGGACAAGAGUUAUUUCCCAAUCCAAAGUGUUUACAUGAUAGAUGCUAAUCUAAUCUGUCUAGACCAUAACGCCCGUAACAGAGAAAAAACUGGCAAGUGAACUCCCAGAUAAGUCUCUGUACCAGGUAUGGCUUAAAGGGACAACUCGAGUGGACUCUGGCUGCUCCCUGCCAGAAGCAGAGAGCCCUCUCUGAGAAAGUGGCCAGUGAAUUCUCAUUACUUCUUUGCCUUCCUUUUGGUUGAAUGUUAAUCCUCAUUAACAACAGUCCCUUGACGGUCCUGGAAGCCAAGAAUUUUCCACGCGAUGGAGCCUUCUCUCUGUUCCCUGCUGGUGGACUUUGACCCCACUAUGAAGUGAUCGCUUCUAGGAAGGAGACAGCAGCUGAGGUUCUGCUCCUGCCUGACCCUUCUGCUCACACCACCUGCAGGGCUAAAGGCAGUGUCACAAGAGUUUUAUGGAGACCUCUGACAUCUUUACACCAUAGGCUGCAAAGCACCUGACAACCUGUUGUGGUCAUUACUAGAGUGUGCCUAGACCAAUUGAGCACCUCUAGAGAAGCACUUAGCAUUUUUAUUUUCCACUGGUCACUGCUGGAACAGCAUUUAGGGCUAGGUUUGGCUGUGGUCCAUCCCAGAGCCACCACUGGUAGCUUAGCUGCUUUUCCUUGUGCCUCAGUGACAUACAACUAACUGACAACAUAUUCAAAAGAUGAAACCUGUCUCGAUUUUAAGACUUCAGAGGAGUCAUCAGUUUUUGUUCCCUUGAUGAACUGCUUUCUCUAUUUAAAAAACAAACAAAACCAACCAAACAAAAAAGCAUCUUGUGUCACAUCUGCAUUGAAGGAGAUAUUUUCAUUUUAAAGCUAUUGAAGCUAUUGUUACUUUAAAGGAGAACUUGACUGCUUCUUUAUAAAAAACAAGACAAUGAUGAGGUACACAUUUUUUACCUUGAUAUCCCAUUAUCUAUCUGAUAAGAUAUGACAAAAAUGUUUUGUUCAGUGACCCUGCAGCCCAUACACAGGCGCAGUAAAUAAAUCUGUAUACAGUAAAGAAAUCAAUGGCAGCCUUUCCUUUGAAUUCACUUGCAAAGGACCUCAGCAUUUUAGACCAUAGAGUUUUCUGACCUCAGCAUUUUAAAUCAUAGAGUUUUCUCUUUGAGUCGAAGUGUAGUACUACAUACUUGCUUAGUCUUCAUGAAUACUUGGCUCUGGCUUCACUAAAUGUUAAUUUGUAUGAGAUAACUGUGGCUUUAAAGAGACAGCAUUGGUUCUCCACUCUCAUUUCCUUCCAUCUGAAAACAAUCCCAGCUAAGAGUUUUGGAGACCAUCAUCGACCUCCCUGUUCUGACAGGGAUACACUCAUUUCUAGGCGAAUACAAGAAAAAUAAAGAUGUUAGUCAUACGUUAUUGUGUUCACACAAGUGGCACUUCAAGUUAAAGAAUACAUUCUAAAUAUGUUAUUGUUCAGGUCGUGUACAUGUUUAACUUCCCAGUGGAAAGCAUACCUUAAUUAGCCAGCUGUAAUCCAAAUUACAGUUUCUGAUUCGUUAAAGCUGUUAAAAUACCUUAAAUCAGCUGCCUGUCUAUGUCUGAAAUAACAAUGAAAAUAACUGCAUUUGCAAAAAUUAUCUGAAUGCAAGCAGGCUAUAAAUAGAGAGGAGGUGGAUUGGACAGUCUGCAGAUCUGAGUUGGAAUAAGAACAUCAUAGUUAAGCCAAAAACAUGACAACCAAUAUUUUCUGUUAUAAAAACAUUUGAGAUUAAUUUAGUUGUUUUUUUUUUGUUUUUUUUUUUUUUUUUUUUUUAAUGAAAGCUGUCUGAGAUUGAAAUUGAGAGCAAAGUUCUCUGUUUAUUUACGAGCCAGCACUGAUACCUGAAGCAUAAAGCAAGGCACUUUCAGAGCAAUGCCAGCAAACUUUUGACUAUAUUGGAAAAUCCUUCUUGCCAUGGGACAAGCACGGCGGUGUACUCGCGUUCUUUCAGCAUAACCCCCACCUUGAUAACACUUGUCAUCUGAGCAGAUUGCAUGACAGGUCCGUGAAGUGGAUUACUACUGUCCACUAGAGGCUGUAAUGAGACCAACAAUGUCAUUUUUUGACAAAUUGAAGUCUUAGACUGUAAUGAUCGAUAAUUGUAAAAUUACUGUUCACAUGCAGUGCGUCAUCAAUCACUGGAUUUCCCUGAACUUGGAUGUUAAAAAAAAAAAAAUCCAACUUAUGUUACCUCUUAUUUUCCCAUUUUUUACAAAUACUAAUUACAUAAAGCGUGCAUGUUGAAGGCACGACAUCAGUGUACUGAAAGACAGUUUCUCCUAGACAACGUGUCUCCUGCACGUCAAACUGAUGACUGUCUUUUGGUCAAGAACAUGUUCAACGGGGAGUCUGACCAGUUUCAGCAUGUUACUGGCAGGAGGCACUGCUCGAGUGGGUUCCUGUGUCCAACUCACACCGUGGUGCUGGAGCCCUGAUCUGCACGUACUGCACUGCCACAGUGCCUCUCUCCAUUCCUAGUGUCAGAACUGUCCGGGUCUGCAAUUGUGUCUAUUUUCUGUAGCAAAUGACUUUCACCUCUGGCAUAGUUCUGCACGUCUGGGUCAAUAGACUGCACUGCCUUGAUAGACAAUGAGGGACCUUUGUCCUGGCCGUGGCAGCACAUGAGAUCUUGCUCAGGUGCUGCUUCCCACCCUCGGUGUCCCCACCGUGCUGUGUGCUGCUCGCUGUCGGGGGAACGCUUUGAGCUCUGCCAUAGGCCCUCAAAAGAGGAACUGCAGAGGUAUAAUGGCAUCUUGUGAUGUGGAAGCGCAUCCUGCGCACCAGGCAAUGCCAGCAAAGGCACCGUCCCCUUAUCUCUGUUAUGUAACCACCAUCAAAACGGAGGUGAGUUUGUGAACCCGAUGUGGUUGCCUGCAAUUAUGGCACUUCCCCAGGACAUGGGCAGAGGCUGCCUUGCUGGGAAAAAAUACCGCUUUGGUUUACAAUUGACUUACGCUCUUCCAACUUUGAAGUAGAAACAUGGACAAAGAUUUAAAAGCCAGAGGCUGGCUCAUGGCAAAAAGUGUGGGUCCUGCGGCAAACACCAUGGCCACAGGACGGAGGAACACACAAGCCUCUUACACGAGCCUGCCGCAGAAGGGAAAGUUGCCCAAAGCUUGCUUCAGCAUGAAUGUGGCUUCUCUUCCACGGCGUGUGCCACACCUCUUGGCAAGGUGGAGGUUUGAGAAGGAAAGAUUCCUUUCUCCUGAGGUAACAGGAGUACAACUGGAAUAAAAAAGGUGGCAGGAGGGAGUACGCCGCGUCUGCAGAACAGAAUGCAGAGGAUGGGGUGGCAGCUUCUGCGGGGCCUUCACUUGAUUUCCAGCUGUCUCCAGCCUCUGCCUCUCUCCUAUGGUUCCUUUCAUUAAAUCAAUGAACCUUGCAUUAGCUGGGUGAGGAUAUUUUUGCUGUCUGCCACAUGGCCAUAGAUGCACCAUCUCAUUGCUGAGUGGCACGUUCGUCCAGACAUCCGGGCCUGCUGCUGUCCCCAGAGUGCUCUGAAACAGGCAAUCACUUUGGAUUAUGUAGCAAACCUGAUCUGGAGAGGUAGAAGUUGCAUUGUUACAAUAUCCUUAUGCUCAUAAAGCCAGUCUAUAUGACGAUACCAGCUCUCAGUCAAGAGCUGUGCAGAUUAGCACAUUCUCUAGGAAAUACGGAGGAUGAGUACAGUCAUUCAUAGAAGGGACUGCUUUGCUGAGCUGCAUACUGACAGAGCCCUAGGGUCUUUUGCAUCCAGACUAAUGCUAGUUCCAAUGCUAAAACACAGUAGUACUACCUGUGGACACACACAUGACACAUCUGCACUACAGACAUCUGCUUGGAGCUCACAGCUGUGCUGGGGUGGAUUGGAAGAGGCUCAGCCAACAGCCUGCUCUGGGCAGCCACAGCACAGGGAGCGUGCAGGGCGCUCUCGGAGCCCUUCUGGGGUGAGACCCAGCCGUGGGGGUUUAUGCAGCAUUUCGUGCGGUGACUUUGGGAUGGGGAGAGGCUUUCUCGGCGUCGUGCCUCCCUUCUUAAUGCCGAAGCAGAGCGAGCGGUUCCCUGUGCGGCAGUCGGGUUGCCAGCAAGCAGAGCAGACGCUGUCCUGUGGCUGUGUUCCUCCCAUUCAUUUAUUCUGGGAGAGGCGGGCAGUGGUCUGCGCGCAGCCGGGAGAGACGAGCGAGGAUCCUGCCGGAGCGUGUGCGAGGAGCGCAGCGGGAGCGAGUACCCAAACAUGCGUGGUGCAGCCCUGCCUGCCUCGUAGUGCGGCGACGGAAUGAGUCAGAGCCUCUUUGGUCUGAAUGAAGUGGAAGGUACUCUCUACAAAGCGACUCGAGCAUAUGCCAAGGAUCCGGAAAAAUAAAACUAAUUCAGAAAACGGGAGUGGGAUGCGGGCUCCUGUUCUACAAAGCUUCACAGCUCUCCACGGCAAAGCGCAAUAUGGCAUCUUAAAUAAAAUCACCCCUCCCCUGACUCUCACGGCGCUGCCUCCGAGCCGUCCCCGGCUCCCUGGCGCGCGUUUAUUUCCUCCCUUAGCGACAGCCCGGCCUCGGCCGGCGCUCCCGCAUCCCGCACGGCCAGCCCGCUCUCCUCUCCCCGCUCGGCAGCGCGCCGCUCCCGGUGCCCGCCGGUGCGGCUCCCGGCGCUGCGGGCGUCGGGGCGAGGAGCGGCC
Non-coding RNA from Phasianus colchicus (ring-necked pheasant), 5930 nucleotides. Lineage: Eukaryota; Metazoa; Chordata; Aves; Galliformes; Phasianidae. The record is from RefSeq and is a predicted model, not a curated record.